Molecule: ribosomal RNA, 735 nt
Filed under: uncultured bacterium
Lineage: Bacteria
Description: bacterial SSU rRNA
Rfam family: Bacterial small subunit ribosomal RNA
Source: RNAcentral
GGCUAGUUCNUUUUCCCUUGAGUUGAUAUGGCUCAGACGAACGCUGGCGGCGCGCUUACACAUGCAAGUCGAACGAGAAGGCGUAGCAAUACGCUUGUAAAGUGGCAAACGGGUGAGUAACGCGUGGAUAAUCUACCCUAGGGUGGGGAAUAACUUCCCGAAAGGGGAGCUAAUGCCGACAUGUGCAACACUCUCGCAAGAGGAUGUUGGAAAGCCGUACCGUGGGUACGGCGCCCAAGGAUGAGUUCACGUCCUAUCAGCUUGUUGGCGGGGUAACGGCCCACCAAGGCUACGACGGGUAGCUGGUCUGAGAGGACGACCAGCCACACUGGCACUGCGACACGGGCCAGACUCCUACGGGAGGCAGCAGUGAGGAAUAUUGCGCAAUGGGCGAAAGCCUGACGCAGCGACGCCGCGUGGGGGAUGAAGGCCUUCGGGUUGUAAACCCCUUUCAGGAGGGAAGAUGGGACGGGCAACCGUUCGGACGGUACCUCCAGAAGCAGCCACGGCUAACUCUGUGCCAGCAGCCGCGGUAAGACAGAGGUGGCAAGCGUUGUUCGGAUUUACUGGGCGUAAAGGGUGCGUAGGUGGUUAGGUAAGACCUGUGGGAAAGACCUGGGCUUAACCCAGGAAGGUCGCAGGUGACUGCCUAGCUAGAGGACGGGAGAGGAGCGCGGAAUUCCCGGUGUAGCGGUGAAUGCGUAGAGAUGGGGAGGAAAGCGGUGGCGAANGCGC